Molecule: long non-coding RNA, 927 nt
Filed under: Equus caballus (horse)
Lineage: Eukaryota; Metazoa; Chordata; Mammalia; Perissodactyla; Equidae
Description: lncRNA (ENSECAG00000032806.3)
Source: RNAcentral
GAGGUGGUGUCUGGAGGUGGAAGCCUGUGAGAGGGGCUAGGCCCACAUUUCUCGCUUGGGUGGGCGCUGUUGACGUUGGGGCUGGAUAAGUCGUUGUUGUGGGCGGCGGUUCUGUGCAUUGGAGGCUGUUGAGCAGCAUCCCUGGCCUCUACCCACUAGGUGCCAGUAGCACCCCUCCCCAGGUGACCAACAAAAACAUCUCUAGACGUUGCCAAACGUCCUGGGGGCAUCUCCCCCUGCUGGGACCCACUAGGUUGGCCAGGCCAGGCUGAGAAGCAGGAUGGUGGAGUGAGAAGGACCUGCUCAGCCUCCUUGACCCUCCUGCCCUCCAGCUCAGGCGGCCGGUCUUCUGUGAGUGUGGAGAAAAGCCAGCCUCCUGAAGAAAUCAACUCAGUGGAAGGUGCUUCUUCAAUCCCAGAGCCAUGUCAGGCCCUGGCUGGGGUUCUGUGGCCACCUCCUCACCUCGCCCUGCCCUGGAACACGCUCCUGUUCUCACCCCGAGAGAGACGUGGUACCGAAGGUGUUAAUCCAGGGAAUUAGAGGCUGAUGCAGCUGCUGGAAGGGUGGAGGAGUGAAGGUCAGGGAGCCAUCGCUGAAGGUCAGCCUGCAGCUUCCAAAAUGGAUGCUUCUCGAGCUCGCCUGGAAGCUGUGUGGAACCUCCAGGAAACUGUGCCAACAGCCCACAGCUGUGAGCAGAUCUCACGUGAGAGUCUCAUUGGCAGAGCAGUUCGUCAGGACCCUAUGCUGAAGGGGAGACUGGGAACCCCAAUUUCCGGAGAAGACCAUGGAGGAGGGGGUGAGACGCCGAGCACAGCUGCUGCCGGGCAGAGCUGGGGCCUGAGCUCAGAUCUGCAGGCCUUCUAACCCUCCACUGCCUUUCCCAAACCGUGCUGACCCCUGGCAAACUUGCUCUUAAGACUUCGCGAC